UAUAUGAAAACAAAAUUACAAAAAAAAGAAGAGAAAAUAUUAAAUUCUUUGGAAUGUGUAAGCGAGACGUUUUUUUUCUUUUCGCCUUUAUAUU
RNAcentral lists this non-coding RNA (94 nucleotides) under Ditylum brightwellii. Lineage: Eukaryota; Bacillariophyta; Thalassiosirophyceae; Lithodesmiales; Lithodesmiaceae. The record is from RNAcentral.